RNAcentral lists this ribosomal RNA (915 nucleotides) under uncultured marine archaeon. RNAcentral describes it as "bacterial SSU rRNA". It matches the Rfam family "Archaeal small subunit ribosomal RNA", at positions 1 to 922 of the family's 1478-position model. The record is from RNAcentral.
UUCCGGUUGAUCCUGCCGGAGGCUACCGCUAUUGGAGUUCGAUUAAGCCAUGCGAGUCGCGAGUCUUAGGGACUCGGCGUACCGCUCAGUAACACGUGGGUAACCUGCCCUAUGCUGGGGGAUAACCUCGGGAAACUGAGAAUAAUACCCCAUAGUUCACCACGCCUGGAACGGUGGGUGGAUCAAAGCUCCGGCGGCAUAGGAUGGGCCUGCGGCGUAUCAGGUUGUAGGGGGUGUAAUGUACCCUCUAGCCCUCUACGCGUACGGGUGUUGAGAGACAUCGCCCGGAGAUGGAUUCUGAGACACGAAUCCAGACCCUACGGGGUGCAGCAGGCGCGAAAACUUGGCAAUGCGAGAAAUCGUGACCAGGGAACUCCAAGUGCAUCGGGUAAGACCGAUGCUUUUCUUGACUCUUCAAAGGUCUUGGAAUAAGGGGUGGGUAAGGACGGUGCCAGCCGCCGCGGUAAUACCGGCGCCCCAAGUGGUAGUCGCUUUUAUUGGGCCUAAAACGUCCGUAGCCGGUCUGGUACAUUCGUGGGUAAAUCAACCAGCUCAACUGGUUGAAUUCUGCGAGCACGGCCAGACUUGGGACCGGGUGAGGUGUGGGGUACUCUCAGGGUAGGGGUAAAAUCCUGUCAUCCUGAGAGGACCACCUGUUGCGAAGGCGCCACACUAGAACGGAUCCGACGGUCAGGGACGAAGCCUAGGGGCACGAACCGGAUUAGAUACCCGGGUAGUCCUAGGUGUAAACGCUGUGGACUUGAUGUUGGGAGUGCUCCGAGCACCCUCAGUGUCGAAGCGAAGGUGAUAAGUCCACUGCCUGGGGAGUACGGUCGCAAGGCUGAAACUUAAAGGAAUUGGCGGGGGAGCACUGCAACCUGAGGAUUGUGCGGUUUAAUUGGAUUCAACGCCGGA